AUUGAACGCUGGCGGCAGGCCUAACACAUGCAAGUCGAGCGGAUGAAGGGAGCUUGCUCCUGGAUUCAGCGGCGGACGGGUGAGUAAUGCCUAGGAAUCUGCCUGGUAGUGGGGGAUAACGUCCGGAAACGGGCGCUAAUACCGCAUACGUCCUGAGGGAGAAAGUGGGGGAUCUUCGGACCUCACGCUAUCAGAUGAGCCUAGGUCGGAUUAGCUAGUUGGUGGGGUAAAGGCCUACCAAGGCGACGAUCCGUAACUGGUCUGAGAGGAUGAUCAGUCAAACUGGAACUGAGACAGGGUCCAGACUACUACGGGAGGCAGCAGUGGGGAAUAGUGGACAAUGGGCGAAAGCCUUAUCCAGCCAUGCCGCGUGUGUGAAGAAGGUCUUCGGAUUGUAAAGCACUUUAAGUUGGGAGGAAGGGCAGUAAGUUAAUACCUUGCUGUUUUGACGUUACCAACAGAAUAAGCACCGGCUAACUUCGUG
This 484-nucleotide ribosomal RNA is filed under the name uncultured bacterium. RNAcentral's name for it is "partial 16S ribosomal RNA". It matches the Rfam family "Bacterial small subunit ribosomal RNA", at positions 30 to 507 of the family's 1533-position model. The record is from RNAcentral.